This 318-nucleotide RNase P RNA is filed under the name Urocyon cinereoargenteus (gray fox). Its description in RNAcentral is "Nuclear RNase P". It matches the Rfam family "Nuclear RNase P". From Rfam's summary of the family: Ribonuclease P (RNase P) is a ubiquitous endoribonuclease, found in archaea, bacteria and eukarya as well as chloroplasts and mitochondria. The record is from Rfam by way of RNAcentral. Lineage: Eukaryota; Metazoa; Chordata; Mammalia; Carnivora; Canidae.
GGCGGCGGGAAGCUCAGCGGUGGGGCCACGCGCGGAGUGCGCGUCACUCUCCCGGCCCCUGGGAAGGUCUGAGACUUGGGCCAGCUGCGGCCCUAGCAGGGCCCUCCCCGCGCGCGGGGGGGUGAGUUCCCAGAGAGCGGGCCCCGGCGAGGGCCUUCGGGCAGGAGAGGCCGCGGGCGCGGCGGAUGCCCCCUCCCCGGGGCUUGGAAUAGACUCACGGCCGGCACGGUGAGUUCAAUGGCUGGGCCGGGGCACCCGUGCUGGCCGGGCAUCGGGCCGCGGGGCUCCGGAACCCAAUUCAGACUACUCUCCCCCGCC